This 486-nucleotide ribosomal RNA is filed under the name uncultured bacterium. Its description in RNAcentral is "partial 16S ribosomal RNA". It matches the Rfam family "Bacterial small subunit ribosomal RNA", at positions 28 to 507 of the family's 1533-position model. The record is from RNAcentral.
GAUGAACGCUAGCGGCAGGCUUAACACAUGCAAGUCGAGGGGCAGCGCGGGAUAGCAAUAUCCUGGCGGCGACCGGCGGAAGGGUGCGUAACGCGUGAGCGACAUGCCCGUUGCCCGGGGACAACCGGUGGAAACGCCGACUAAUCCCCGAUGGGAUACGAUGCUUCAUGGCAUUGUAUUGAAAGUUACGGCGGCGACGGAUUGGCUCGCGUCCGAUUAGCUGGUUGGCGGGGUAACGGCCCACCAAGGCUGCGAUCGGUAGGGGUUCUGAGAGGAAGGCCCCCCACAAUGGGACUGAGACACGGCCCAUACUCCUACGGGAGGCAGCAGUGAGGAAUAUUGGUCAAUGGGCGGAAGCCUGAACCAGCCAUGCCGCGUGCGGGAAGGAGGCCCUAUGGGCUGUGAACCGCUUUUGCCUGGGGGCAAUAAGGGAGUCGCGCACGUCAGAUGAGAGUACCAGGCGAAUAAGCAUCGGCUAACUCCGUG